GUAGUCCACGCUGUAAACGAUGACAACUGGGUGUUGCGGGUAUUGACUCCCGCUGCGCCGAAGCUAACGCGUUAAGUUGUCCGCCUGGGAAGUACGGCCGCAAGGCUAAAACUCAAAGGAAUUGACGGGGGCCCGCACAAGCGGUGGAGCAUGUGGUUUAAUUCGACGCAACGCGAAGAACCUUACCUGGGCUCGAAAAUGCGCGAACCUGGCUGAAAGGCCGGGGGUGCCCGCAAGGGAGCGCGUAUCAGGUGCUGCACGGCUGCCGUCAGCUCGUGCCGUGAGGUGUUGGGUUAAG
RNAcentral lists this ribosomal RNA (298 nucleotides) under uncultured bacterium. RNAcentral describes it as "partial 16S ribosomal RNA". It matches the Rfam family "Bacterial small subunit ribosomal RNA", at positions 790 to 1084 of the family's 1533-position model. The record is from RNAcentral.